UAGGUGGCAAGCGUUAUCCGGAUUUACUGGGUGUAAAGGGUGUGUAGGCGGAGAGGCAAGUCAGAUGUGAAAAUUACGGGCUUAACCCGUGAACUGCGUCUGAAACUGCAUCCCUUGAGAGUCGGAGAGGUAACUGGAAUUCCAUGUGUAGCGGUGAAAUGCGUAGAUAUAUGGAGGAACACCGGUGGCGAAGGCGGGUUACUGGACGACAACUGACGCUGAGACACGAAAGCGUGGGGAGCAAA
This 245-nucleotide ribosomal RNA is filed under the name uncultured bacterium. Its description in RNAcentral is "partial 16S ribosomal RNA". It matches the Rfam family "Bacterial small subunit ribosomal RNA", at positions 528 to 772 of the family's 1533-position model. The record is from RNAcentral.